This 240-nucleotide long non-coding RNA is filed under the name Elaeis guineensis (African oil palm). RNAcentral's name for it is "long non-coding RNA (EGUI_LNC071375)". The record is from RNAcentral. Lineage: Eukaryota; Viridiplantae; Streptophyta; Magnoliopsida; Arecales; Arecaceae.
AUCUCUUAGAGCCUUCGAUCUAGGAAGUCCUCUCGACUGUGGGUCUCGAGGAUCUUCGUGCAGAAUGGAGGUAGAGAUCCUCCGGGAGUAGAAUCAUGAUCGGACUGAGGGCUCUCCACCCUCAAAUUUGUCUUUUCGGGAAAGACGAGGCGACUGGCCCAAGUGGCCUGCCCUACCAUCGGAUUUUGGAGUUCUGAUGAUGUUCUCUCCAACCGCACCGAUGCCUGCUGCUGUUGUUGC